RNAcentral lists this ribosomal RNA (193 nucleotides) under uncultured bacterium. RNAcentral's name for it is "partial 16S ribosomal RNA". It matches the Rfam family "Bacterial small subunit ribosomal RNA", at positions 334 to 524 of the family's 1533-position model. The record is from RNAcentral.
GACUCCUACGGGAGGCAGCAGUGAGGAAUAUUGGACAAUGGAGGCAACUCUGAUCCAGCCAUGCCGCGUGCAGGAAGACUGCCCUAUGGGUUGUAAACUGCUUUUAUACAGGAAGAAACACUCGGACGUGUCCGAGCUUGACGGUACUGUAAGAAUAAGGAUCGGCUAACUCCGUGCCAGCAGCCGCGGUAAU